UAUGCCCAUCAAACAGUUUUCACUUGACAUCGACCUCAUUUCAUGGAUCAGUGAACAAGGUUAAGUUUUGGUGGUCAAGUCCAUAUCUCAGAUACUAUAAGCAAUAGGUCUAGUAUAUUCGGUGUAUGGAAGGACUGUAAGGUGUACAUGUCCAACUGGCAGGUGUCAUCUGACCUUGACCUCAUUUUCAUGGUUCUGUGGUCAAAGUUAAGUUUUUGAGUUUUGGUCUUUUUUUCUAAUACUAUAUGCAAUAGUUCAACUAUAGUUGGUGUAUGGAAAUAUUUUAUGAUCUAUAUGUCAGUCACGCAGGUUUUAUUUGACCUUGACCUCAUUUUCAAGGUUCAUUGCUCAGUGUUAAGUUUUUUGUGUUUUGGUCUGUUUUUCUUAAACUAUAAGCAAUAGGUCAACUAUAUUUGUUGUAUGGAAGAAUUGUUAGCUGUACAUGCCUGCUUAGCAUGGUUUAUCUGACCUUGACCUCAUUUUCAUGGUUCAUUGGUCAAUGUUUAGUUUACUUGGUUAAUGUUAAGUUUAUGUGACAGUUGUAAUAAAGCUUUAUAUUUAGGACCAUCAACAUAAUAUCAAUGAUUAGUAAAGAAGGCGAGACAUUUCAGCGUGUGCACUCUUGUUGUGCUUAAAAAGAAAUCUUUGAGAUAGAAUUUUAAAUAGAUCUAUUAAAUUCAUGUAAUUUAUACCAUGUUUAUAAUAGCAAUUGUUUUGUUUGUCUUGAUGAAUUGUUCAAACGGAAGAGGUAAAUCACAGAAGCCUAUUUUGGUUCUCUUAGCUUACUCAAGUAUUGGAUCACAGAAGUAUUAAAAAGGGGAGUGGUCACAUGUCAAUAAGUGGAGGAGGAAGGAGCCAAACCUUAUAUUAUAUUAAUUUUUAUACGCUCGUUUACUAAACGUAUUAUGGUAUACCGUUGUCCGUCUGUCUGCCCGUCCGUCUGUAUGUCCGUCUGUCCGUCCGUCGUCAACAUGUCUGACAUUAACUCAAAAACGCUUUAACCAAUUUGCAUAAAACUUUGGUGAAUUGUUUAUAUCUAUUUACGUGAGCUCUCUUUUGUUUUUUAUAAAUUUUAAAUUUUAAGUUUCCGAGUUAUGGGGUUUUAUUCAUUAAAAAAAGGGGGAUUUUCCAGUUUUCGGACAAUAACUCAAGAAUGCUUUCACCAACUUGCAAGAGAUUUUGAUGAAUUGUUUAUAUCUAUUGACAUGAGCUUCCUUUAAAUUUUUAUAAAUUUUAGAUUUUACGUUUCCGAGUUACAGGGUUUUAUUCAUAAAAAAAGGGGGAUUUUCCAGUUUUCCCACAAAAACUCAAAAAUGCUUUCAGCAGUUCUUAUAAAACUUUGGUGAAUUGUUUAUAUCUAUUUAAGUAAGCUCCCUUUUGAAUUUUAUAAAUUUUACAUUUUACAUUUCUUAGUUAUGGGGUUAUAUUCAUUAAAAAAGUGGGGAUUUUCCAGUAUUCGGACAAUGACUCAAAAAUGCUGUCAGCAAUUCUCAUGAAACUUUGGUGAAUUGUUUAUAUCUAUUGAUGUAAGCUCCCUUUUGAUUUUCAUAAAUUUCUAAUAUGACAUUGAGAAUUAAUUGAACUUUAUUGAUCUUUAUUCUUUGAAAAUGUGACGGGCGUAUCAUGCGUCUAGUUUCCAGACAAGAAUUAACUUGUGUUUAAGUGUAUGGAUCUCUAUGAAAUUGUACUACAAGGUUCCAUACCACAAAGGGAAGGCUGGGAUUGAGUUUGGGGGAAAUUGCCCCAAACGUUUAGAAAUUAGGGGCAAAAAAGAGGCUAAAAACAAGCAUUUUUCUAGUUUCCAGACAAUAACUUGUGUUAAAGUUUAUGGAACUCUCUGAAAUUGUACAUUUUUCCUAAAAAGAAAAUCUUCAAAAUCUAAAAAAAAAAUUGGUGGGGGUUUCAAAAAUGUUUGGGUGGGGGAUUUUUUUUUCAAUUUUUUUUGGGGGGUUCAUAUUGUUUUCUUCAAAAUUUUUGAAAUAUGAAAUUUUUUGACUUUUUUUUAUUGCCCCCCCCCCCCCC
Molecule: long non-coding RNA, 2022 nt
Organism: Mytilus californianus (California mussel)
Lineage: Eukaryota; Metazoa; Mollusca; Bivalvia; Mytilida; Mytilidae
Exons: 2
Source: RefSeq, a predicted model, not a curated record